UCCACAGGCAGUGGCCAGAAACCACAAACCUGACCAGAGGCACAAAUGCCCUCUGACCCAAGCCCUGGAGCUGGGUAGAGGGCAAGGAGAGGAACCUCUGAGUGCUGCUGGCCACGCUGCCCAAGCUGCCCAUGCUACAGUGGAACUGGGCAGGCAGCCCCUGGGUGCUGUGACUACAUGAGAGGUGGGGAAGAAGCAGUGGUGCUGCAUCCUGCUGGUUAUGAGCUGGACAUGGCCACGGGGCAGCUGAAGGAGCCACUGGUCAGAGAGCUCUGCAAUACCUGGUGAGAGUUCCAGAACCAGAGCACCUGGCCCCUCUUCCAGGCUGAUAAUGGUGGUGAGUGCACCAGGCUCUGGAGGCUGAGGGCUGCCAGUCUGAGUGUGGCAAUGCCAGCAGCAGGGCUUUUGAGUGUCCUUCCCUCCAUCAGCCAAGGACUCAAGGAGAAAGCAUUCACACUCGUGCGUGUUGUCCUAUUUUCCUUUUCCCUGCCCCAAGCAGAGGUGCGGGUUGCUCUCUUCACUUCUCAAGCUAGGGAUCACCCCCUUCUGGGGGCCCCUCACCACCCAGGGUGUAAUGUGCCUCAUGACCAUCAACAUAUCACUGAAUGGUUUUCUUAUGGAAAAGCUGCAGGAGCCCAAGGAGAAGCAGACAGGCUUUCUUUUAAGGAUUUCAAAAGAACUCAGCAAAAGAGUGAUUCCAUAACCAUGUUCCUGUAUUGA
Molecule: long non-coding RNA, 720 nt
Filed under: Oryctolagus cuniculus (rabbit)
Lineage: Eukaryota; Metazoa; Chordata; Mammalia; Lagomorpha; Leporidae
Description: lncRNA (ENSOCUG00000031497.1)
Source: RNAcentral